GAUGAAGAACGCAGCGAAAUGCGAUACUUGGUGUGAAUUGCAGAAUCCCGUGAACCAUCGAGUCUUUGAACGCAAGUUGCGCCCGAAGCCAUUAGGCCGAGGGCACGCCUGCCUGGGCGUCACACGUCGUUGCCCCCCCAUCUACUCCUUCGGGAUUGCGGGGUGCGGAUGAUGGCCUCCCGUGCGCCUCGUCGCGCGGUUGGCAUAAAUGCCAAGUCCUCGGCGACGCACGCCACGACAAUCGGUGGUUGCGAAACCUCGGUUGCCCGUCGUGUGCGGUCGUCGCGCAUCGAGGGCUCGAAAAAAUUGCCGGGCUCCGGCUCGGCUUUCAACGCGACCCCAGGUCAGGCGGGGUUACCCGCUGAAUUUAAGCAUAUCAAUAAGCGGAGGA
Molecule: unclassified non-coding RNA, 391 nt
Filed under: soil metagenome
Description: partial contains 5.8S ribosomal RNA, internal transcribed spacer 2, and large subunit ribosomal RNA
Rfam family: 5.8S ribosomal RNA (bases 1-122)
Source: RNAcentral